RNAcentral lists this long non-coding RNA (641 nucleotides) under Salmo salar (Atlantic salmon). RNAcentral describes it as "lncRNA (ENSSSAG00000104397.1)". The record is from RNAcentral. Lineage: Eukaryota; Metazoa; Chordata; Actinopteri; Salmoniformes; Salmonidae.
AGGGGGACGUGAGGAUGGGACAGGGAUUAGAGGGAGGUGAGGAUGGGUGAGGGAUUGGGGAGUUGAACAGUAUGUUUAUGGGGAGGAGGUAGGCAUGAUGAGAGGAGAAGAACAUUGUACCACGCAGAAGAAGGCCCAUGGCUCACAGAGCUGCUGGAGGAACACGUUGUGUAAUGAUGUGUGUAAUACUGUAGGUGUGUAAUACUGUGUAAUACUGUAGGUGUGUAAUACUGUGUAAUACAGGUGUUCCCUCUGAGGCCCAGGUGAAGAGGCUUGACUAGGCCUCAAUAAGGUCAAGACUUGGAUUAUGUCCUGAAGGGAAAUGCAGUUUAGCAGCCCUCGUCAUUAUGAAUGUGGUGGCCGUUAGUUUAUUAGAUCAUGAGAAGAAUGCCUGUUUGUUCAUGCAUCCUAUGGAACGCAACAAUGCUUCAGAUUCAUCCGGACCAUGAAAUCUACUAAACAACACCCCAGCAUUUUAUACCAGGCUAUGGUUUCUAUUCAUAGACACAUCUUGUCUGGUGAUAUUUUAGUGGGUGUGAAACGUUGUAUGCCUGUAUUUUUCAAGCUGAUACAGUAACUCCAGCCCUGCUACACCGUCCCUAUGGUUCUCCUGCCCCUCCUGUCGGACAGAAGGUUACACU